Long non-coding RNA from Oncorhynchus tshawytscha (Chinook salmon), 1326 nucleotides. The record is from Ensembl. NCBI's taxonomy places the organism in Eukaryota, Metazoa, Chordata, Actinopteri, Salmoniformes, Salmonidae.
AUAUGUUGCCUGCUUUGCAUGUUAUUUUGGCAUUAAUAAGUGUCACAUAUCAGUUUGCAAACAAUGUCUACUUUUUAAAAAAUCAUUGAGUUAAUAAAGCUGCAUACAGACACCUUCUCUUUUUUGCUUUCUUGAGGAAGGCAGCUCAUAAAUGCAGGUGUUUCAGCCCAGCUUAGUGCUUUCUGUGGUGGUGGGGCAGCCAGCGAGAAAUACGGAGCGUAGGGGUUGGUAAUGUUCUCUGGUUGCGCCGUGAUUGGUUCAACAUCAUAUUUUCAAAAUCAUAGCUAUCAAGCUAGCAGUCAUCAUCAUGCAUCCAGACAACAAUCUACUGGCAAAUCCUUUUCAAUCCUUGUCAUAUGAAGAGAAAUUAUAGAUAAAAAGUAUCGGUGGUCAUCAACCUUUCCAAAUGAACACAAAAAGUUGGAAAUCGCAAAUUCAACAAUGAGUGGUUUGGAAGGAAUCAGUGGCUAACUGCAAGCUUAACAAAUCAAUCACUGGCCUGCUGUUCAACAUGAAUACUGCCGCAUUCAAAACAACUGGAAACUCGGAACUGGGAAAUCUUAGACUUCAGUGAGUUCAAAACAACUGGAAACUCAGAACUGGGAAAUCUUAGACUUCAGUGAGUUCAAGACAACUGGGAACUCUGACUGGGAAAACAGGUUUUGAACGGCCAUCCAACUCAGAAAUCAUAGGAGCCCAUGUGCCUCACCCUAAUAAUGUUGUCCCUUUCCCCUCUCAUAACUUAGCCGACUGCUCUGACUUGAUGGUGCACAUGUAGACUAUAGCCUGUUUUUGAGAAAUGUAAUCAUCAAAUAUUGUAAGAGCUUUCAUUGUCUGCUUAUAUGCAGUUCUGACUUGGUGUACAGGGAGAAUACUGUAAGAAUGGCCCAUGUUCAAAAUUCUGUCGCUGUACAUUUCAAAAGUGCUGAACAAAUGAUUAUAUUGACGACGUCCAUCCUAGCUCUCUCAUUGUCUUAAUCUAAAUUACAGAUAUCCUGUAGUCCACUCGUUGUCCCCUUGUGCCAUAGUUUGUACAUCUCAAUUGUCAGUAGAAACCACAUUUGUUUAAGCAAGUCAGCCAUAUCAGCUAUGUUUUUUAAAAAGGAUUCUCUCCAUGGUGCUGAAAAGAAAGCUCUGCUGUUGGGACAGCUUUAUGUCGACCCUAACAGUUUGUGGGCACCGUUUGUUAAAGUUAUAGUGCAAUUAAUGUAUUGUUUAGUGUUGUGUUGUGUAUGGGAAUGGGAAAACAUGUUUUUUAUUAAGUUGAACAUGUGCUCUUUGUGACAGAAUGUUAGAAUUAGGUGAAAUAAAAGUUACACUCCCCAA